AGUGGCAUGUGAUGUUCUCUACGUAUCCAUAGUAACGACGAGAACAGUGGAUGUCAUUGA
This 60-nucleotide microRNA precursor is filed under the name Euprymna scolopes. RNAcentral's name for it is "Esc-Mir-12523_pre stem-loop". Lineage: Eukaryota; Metazoa; Mollusca; Cephalopoda; Sepiida; Sepiolidae. The record is from RNAcentral.